RNAcentral lists this ribosomal RNA (292 nucleotides) under uncultured bacterium. RNAcentral describes it as "partial 16S ribosomal RNA". It matches the Rfam family "Bacterial small subunit ribosomal RNA", at positions 505 to 796 of the family's 1533-position model. The record is from RNAcentral.
GUGCCAGCAGCCGCGGUAAUACGGAGGGUGCAAGCGUUGUCCGGAAUCACUGGGCGUAAAGGGUGCGCAGGCGGGGCAGCAUGUCGGAGGUGAAAGCCCAUGGCUCAACCAUGGAAGUGCCUUCGAAACUGUUGCUCUUGAGUCCCGGAGAGGCUGUCGGAAUUCGUGGUGUAGCGGUGAAAUGCGUAGAUAUCACGAGGAACACCAGAGGCGAAAGCGGACAGCUGGACGGGUACUGACGCUCAGGCACGAAAGCGUGGGGAGCAAACAGGAUUAGAUACCCGGGUAGUCC